GAUGAACGCUAGCGGCAGGCCUAAUACAUGCAAGACGAACGGUAAGUUGAGUAGCAAUACUUAGCCAAGAGUGUCGUACGGGUGCGUAACACGUAUGCAACCUACCCUAUACAGGAGGAUAGCCUAGGGAAACCUGGAUUAACCCUUCAUAGUAUUAUUGGAUGGCAUCAUUUGAUAAUUAAAACUGAGGUGGUAUAGGAUGGGCAUGCGUCUGAUUAGUUAGUUGGCGGGGUAAUGGCCCACCAAGACGAUGAUCAGUAGGGUUCUGAGAGGAAGAUCCCCCCACACUGGCACUGAGAUACGGGCCAGACUCCUACGGGAGCAGCAGUAGGGAAUAUUGGUCAAUGGAUGCAAGUCUGAACCAGCCAUGCCGCGUGCAGGAAGAAGGCCUUCUGGGUUGUAAACUGCUUUUGCCAGGGGAUAAAAUUCCAUGCGUGGAAAACUGAAGGUACCUGGUGAAUAAG
Molecule: ribosomal RNA, 464 nt
Filed under: uncultured bacterium
Lineage: Bacteria
Description: bacterial SSU rRNA
Rfam family: Bacterial small subunit ribosomal RNA
Source: RNAcentral